This 103-nucleotide small nuclear RNA is filed under the name Aotus nancymaae (Ma's night monkey). Lineage: Eukaryota; Metazoa; Chordata; Mammalia; Primates; Aotidae. The record is from RNAcentral.
ACGCUUCGGCAGCACAUGUACUAAAAUCGGGAUGAUACAGAGAAGAUUAACAUGGCCCCUACACAAGGAUGAUACACAAAGUUGUGAAGCAUUCCAUAUUUUU